This 253-nucleotide ribosomal RNA is filed under the name uncultured bacterium. RNAcentral's name for it is "partial 16S ribosomal RNA". It matches the Rfam family "Bacterial small subunit ribosomal RNA", at positions 524 to 776 of the family's 1533-position model. The record is from RNAcentral.
UACAGAGGUCUCAAGCGUUGUUCGGAUUCAUUGGGCGUAAAGGGCGCGUAGGCGGCGGGGUAAGUCGGGUGUGAAAUCUCAGAGCUCAACUCCGAAACUGCAUUCGAUACUGCCGUGCUUGAGGACUGGAGAGGAGACUGGAAUUUACGGUGUAGCGGUGAAAUGCGUAGAUAUCGUAAGGAAGACCAGUGGCGAAGGCGGGUCUCUGGACAGUUCCUGACGCUGAGGCACGAAGGCCAGGGGAGCAAACGGG